Molecule: non-coding RNA, 272 nt
Organism: Lolium perenne
Lineage: Eukaryota; Viridiplantae; Streptophyta; Magnoliopsida; Poales; Poaceae
Source: RefSeq, a predicted model, not a curated record
AACUCUGAAGGAGCAUAUGCAAGUAGCACAGCCAGAAGGAUUGAACGAACUUCAGAGAAUUGCUGUGCGAUACGAAAACUUUAUCUAUACCACAGCGGACACCAAGCUUGAUUAUUUGCACAAGAUCACUUGGAAAAUGCGUCGAUUGGAGAUGGGUAUACAACAUCCUCUGGAAGUUAUUCCAAACCAAAACAAUCCUGGUCAAGUCAUAGAUGGUUAUGGCCAGACAGGAGCACAAAACGCUAGUGGACGAGACGAUGUGCGAGGUUAGG